This is a non-coding RNA of Desulfacinum infernum DSM 9756, 77 nucleotides long. The record is from Rfam. NCBI's taxonomy places the organism in Bacteria, Pseudomonadati, Thermodesulfobacteriota, Syntrophobacteria, Syntrophobacterales, Syntrophobacteraceae.
GAGAGCCGUAUGCGGGAGAUCCGCACGUACGGUUCGGAGGGGGGAGGGACUCGGCAACGAGUCCUUCCUACCCCUAU